GACGAACGCUGGCGGCGUGCUUAACACAUGCAAGUCGAACGGAAAGGCUCCAGCUUGCUGGAGUACUCGAGUGGCGAACGGGUGAGUAACACGUGGGUAAUCUGCCCUGCACUCUGGGAUAAGCCUGGGAAACUGGGUCUAAUACUGGAUAUGACCUUUCUCCUUAUGGGGUUUGGUGGAAAGUUUUUCGGUGUAGGAUGAGCCCGCGGCCUAUCAGCUUGUUGGUGGGGUGAUGGCCUACCAAGGCGACGACGGGUAGCCGGCCUGAGAGGGUGAUCGGACACAGGGGCACUGAGACACGGCCCAGACUCCUACGGGAGGCAGCAGGGGGGAAUAUUGCACAAGGGGCGGAAGUCUGAUGCCGACGCCGCGUGAGGGAUGACGGCCUUCGGGUUGUAAACCUCUUUCAGCAGGGACGAAGCGUAAGUGACGGUACCUGCAGAAGAAGCACCGGCUAACUACGUG
RNAcentral lists this ribosomal RNA (465 nucleotides) under uncultured bacterium. RNAcentral's name for it is "partial 16S ribosomal RNA". It matches the Rfam family "Bacterial small subunit ribosomal RNA", at positions 28 to 507 of the family's 1533-position model. The record is from RNAcentral.